Molecule: long non-coding RNA, 984 nt
Organism: Priapulus caudatus
Lineage: Eukaryota; Metazoa; Priapulida; Priapulimorpha; Priapulimorphida; Priapulidae
Exons: 3
Source: RefSeq, a predicted model, not a curated record
GUAUCUAUUGUUGAUCUUAGUGAGUAGUCCCUGUGACGGCUCGACGACGAUUCCUCCAACUGAGUGCAUUUGCACAGCGACUACGGAGACGGAGUGCGCCGGCAGGUGUGGCUGCCUAACGAAGACCAUUAUCUGCACAGAGUUCACCGACGCCUGUGGCGGAGUAGCGCCCGAGGAGACGACAGAGACGUGUUUGACGGGAGGUCCGAUCCGCACGUGUCGUGGGAGAUGCUGUGGUGGCUGGGAGCUAAUAAGGAUAGGCAGGAGGAGACGAUGUCAGCCGCCGCAGUAAACAUACAAGCAACUACUAGCGCAACGAUGCGACGUCGUCUAUCGUUGCACCCAGAAACGGAACUAAGCCAGAUGAUACAUAGCGUUAGCUGCCAGGUAAACGGGGGACACAGACCAGGACAGCUCAUGCCUGAUUCUCCGGUUGCAAUAUUUCCAUUAUUGGGAAUGUGCAGAAUCUUCAGGGGCAACCUUCAGUGUUGCUUCUCUCAACAAAGAUAUAUAUUCGUAUAUCCUGAAUGCCAUUAUAUAAUUCUAGGUGAAAUGACAUGAAAUGAAAUCAUGCUGUAAAACGAUUUGCGGAAGAAUUGCGCUCUAGACUACCAGCAAAGGGCAGUGUUAGAGCUUUAAAAUAAAAACCACUCGCCGAACUGGGCGAGUGAUCGAGUCAAUAAGUUAACUCGCCCAAACGGAAUCUGUACUCGCCCAAAUUUUAAAACAAAAAUGCUUGUCAAACAAUAGUGAAAAAACACCAUUGAUUUAACUACAGAUGUAAUUCAUUGAUCACUUUUCUCAAAAAUUCAAGACUCAUCUCCUCUGAAAGUUCCUGUUUUCAUUUUCAUUUAAUUUACUUUUAUUCUCGGGCUGCUUUGCCCCAUCAAUGAAACGCCACGUUACGCCAAUUUUAUUUACCAAGGCCAACGUGACUUUUAAACAAUCCUGCAGUCCCCCCGCCCCCCUCCCCGUACAUCAAUC